UGAUAUAAAAUAAUUACUGUGUUAACAUAGGGAGACAUUCCAUAUUAUUUUAUUGCAAAAACAUGCCCUCCCAGUAAAUGCUUUUGUGAUAUCAAUCUGCAUUUGAAAGAUCUUUAAUGUGAUUUUAGUGUUUUGUCUCUAAAUAGUAUUCCCCUGAUAUCCACCACCCAUUUCCAGCAGAGGACUAAUAAACAAAACUCAGUUUGUCUGCAUGUAAAAAGUGUAAAAUACGUCAGUCCCUUUAAAUCUUAUUUGAAAUGACUGCUUAUAAUACAAUACUUAUUGUAGACAU
Molecule: long non-coding RNA, 292 nt
Organism: Thalassophryne amazonica
Lineage: Eukaryota; Metazoa; Chordata; Actinopteri; Batrachoidiformes; Batrachoididae
Exons: 2
Source: RefSeq, a predicted model, not a curated record